GUGCUCUCUUCGGCAGCACAUAUACUAAAAUAGGAACAAUACAGAGAAGAGUAGCAUGGCCCCUGUGCAUGGAUGACACUCAAAUUCAUGAAGCAUUCCAUAUUUUU
Small nuclear RNA from Panthera leo (lion), 107 nucleotides. Lineage: Eukaryota; Metazoa; Chordata; Mammalia; Carnivora; Felidae. The record is from Ensembl.